Molecule: ribosomal RNA, 789 nt
Filed under: uncultured bacterium
Lineage: Bacteria
Description: bacterial SSU rRNA
Rfam family: Bacterial small subunit ribosomal RNA
Source: RNAcentral
AGAGUUUGAUCCUGGCUCAGGACGAACGCUGGCGGCGUGCUUAACACAUGCAAGUCGAACGGAAAGGCCCCUUCGGGGGUACUCGAGUGGCGAACGGGUGAGUAACACGUGGGUGAUCUGCCCUGCACUUUGGGAUAAGCCUGGGAAACUGGGUCUAAUACCGAAUAGGACCGCAUGCUUCAUGGUGUGUGGUGGAAAGCUUUUGCGGUGUGGGAUGGGCCCGCGGCCUAUCAGCUUGUUGGUGGGGUAAUGGCCUACCAAGGCGACGACGGGUAGCCGGCCUGAGAGGGUGUCCGGCCACACUGGGACUGAGAUACGGCCCAGACUCCUACGGGAGGCAGCAGUGGGGAAUAUUGCACAAUGGGCGCAAGCCUGAUGCAGCGACGCCGCGUGGGGGAUGACGGCCUUCGGGUUGUAAACCUCUUUCAGUAUCGGCGAAGCUCCAGGAUUUUUCUUGGGGUGACGGUAGGUACAGAAGAAGCACCGGCCAACUACGUGCCAGCAGCCGCGGUAAUACGUAGGGCGCGAGCGUUGUCCGGAAUUACUGGGCGUAAAGAGCUCGUAGGUGGUUUGUCACGUUGUCUGUGAAAACUCACAGCUUAACUGUGGGCGUGCGGGCGAUACGGGCAGACUGGAGUACUGUAGGGGAGACUGGAAUUCCUGGUGUAGCGGUGGAAUGCGCAGAUAUCAGGAGGAACACCGGUGGCGAAGGCGGGUCUCCGGGCAGUAACUGACGCUGAGGAGCGAAAGCGUGGGGAGCGAACAGGAUUAGAUACCCUGGUAGUCCAA